RNAcentral lists this ribosomal RNA (467 nucleotides) under uncultured bacterium. RNAcentral's name for it is "partial 16S ribosomal RNA". It matches the Rfam family "Bacterial small subunit ribosomal RNA", at positions 28 to 506 of the family's 1533-position model. The record is from RNAcentral.
GACGAACGCUGGCGGCGUGCUUAACACAUGCAAGUCGAACGGAAAGGCCCUGCUUUUGUGGGGUGCUCGAGUGGCGAACGGGUGAGUAACACGUGAGUAACCUGCCCUUGACUUUGGGAUAACUUCAGGAAACUGGGGCUAAUACCGGAUAGGAGCUCCUGCUGCAUGGUGGGGGUUGGAAAGUUUCGGCGGUUGGGGCUGGACUCGCGGCUUCUCAGCCUGUUGGUGGGGUUGUGGCUUACCAAGGCUUUGACGGGUAGCCGGCCUGAGAGGGUGACCGGCCACAUUGGGACUGGGAUACGGCCCAGACUCAUACGUGAGGCAGCAGUGGGGAAUAUUGGACAAUGGGCGGAAGCCUGAUGCAGCAACGCCGCGUGCGGGAUGACGGCCUUCGGGGUGUAAACCGCUUUCGCCUGUGACGAAGCGUGAGGGACGGUAAUGGGUAAAGAAGCACCGGCUAACUACGU